GACGAACGCUGGCGGCGUGCCUAAUACAUGCAAGUCGAACGAAGAGCGAUGGAAGUUGGCUUCUAUCAAUCUUCGUCGCGAAGGUGUGUGUAACGUGGAAUCAACCUCUCUUACAGAGGGAGACAAUAGGGGGACACGACCUCUUAUCGCAUAUACGAUCUAAUCUCGGCAUCGAGGAUAGAUGGAUGGUAGUGCCUACAUGUAAGCUAACACCGCAGUUGGUUAGUGCGUUUGAUAAGCUAGUUGGGGGGGUAACGGCCCACCAAGGCGAUGAUCAGUAGCCGGUCUGAGAGGAUGAACGGCCACAUUGGGACUGAGACACGGCCCAAACUCCUACGGGAGGCAGCAGUAGGGAAUCUUUCGCAAUGGACGAAAGUCUGACGGAGCAACGCCGCGUGAGUGAUGAAGGCUUUCGGGUUGUAAAGCUCUGUUAAUCGGGAAGAAAGGUGUUCUGGCGAAAAGGGAGAAGGAUUGACGGUACCUAAAUAGAAAGCCACGGCUAACUACGUG
This 510-nucleotide ribosomal RNA is filed under the name uncultured bacterium. Its description in RNAcentral is "partial 16S ribosomal RNA". It matches the Rfam family "Bacterial small subunit ribosomal RNA", at positions 28 to 507 of the family's 1533-position model. The record is from RNAcentral.